CGCUCCUGCCACGUGAACAGCCCCGGACGAGACGCGCCGUACCCGGUCAGGAUAAGACGACGCACG
Molecule: non-coding RNA, 66 nt
Filed under: unclassified sequences
Source: RNAcentral